UCCACGAUUUAGUUACUUAUUUUAAUAAUUUACAUAUCGUUGUAGAUUGAAUAUUUUUGCAGAAUAAUAAUAUUCAAGAUUUUUUAAGAAAAAAAAGAUCAGAUCAAGGUGUAGUUUAUAAAUAAGAAGAAAUGGGUUACAAUAAAUUUAUUUAUACGGAUAAUUAAUUUAAAAUUGAUUUGAAGGAGGAUUUGAAAGUAAUUUUAAUUAAUUUAUUAAAAUGAUUUUGGCUCUAAAAUAUGUACAUAUCGCCCGUCAUUUUCACUAUAAAGUGAAACAAGUCGUAACAUAGUAGGUGUACUGGAAAGUGUACCUAGAAAGACAAAUUAGAGCUUGAUAUAAAGCAUUUUAUUUACAUUAAAAAGUUUACUGUGAAAUUCAGUAUAAUUUGAAUUUAUAAUAUUAUUUAAAUUAUUUGUUUAUAUUAAUAUUUAAAGAAAAUAUUUUAUUGUUUAAUUAAUAAAAAGAAAAAAUUUAUUUAAUAAUAGUGAAUUAGUAUUGUGAGAGAAAUAUUAAAAACAUGGCCUUUUGAAUAUAAUUUAAGGUCUAGCCUGCCCAAUGAAGAUUUAAAUGGCCGCGGUAUUUUGACCGUGCAAAGGUAGCAUAAUCAUUUGUUUUUUAAUUGAAAGCUGGAAUGAAGGGUUGAAUGAGAAAAUAACUGUCUCUAACUAAUUUUUAUAGAAUUUUAUUUUUAAGUUAAAAAGCUUAAAUAAUAUUUGAAGACGAGAAGACCCUAUAGAGUUUAAUAGUUUUGUUAAUUUUAAUUAAUUAGAAUAAAUAUAGUAUGAGUUAGCUAAUUAUUUGAUUGGGGUGAUUUAAAAAUUAAAUAAACUUUUUAUUUAUUAAUACAUUAAUUAAUGAGUAUAUGAUCCUUUUUAAAGAUUAAAAGAAUAAAUUACCUUAGGGAUAACAGCGUAAUUUUUUUUUAGAGUUCAAAUCGAAAAAAAAGAUUGCGACCUCGAUGUUGGAUUAAAAUUAAUUUUUGGCGUAGUAGUUAGAUAAUUUGGGUCUGUUCGACCCUUAAAAUUUUACUUGAUCUGAGUUCAAACCGGUGUGAGCCUAGGUUGGUUUCUAUCUCAAAUUAGUUAACUAUAUUUUAGUACGAAAGGACCUAAAUAUGUAUUUAAUAAAUUUAUUAAAGAAUAUUUUUAAAAUGUUAUUUUGGCUAGAUUAGUGCGAUAGAUUUAGAAUCUAUAUAUGUAAAUUUUACUAAAUAAUACUUGAUUUUUAAAGAUUUAAUAAUAAUAAUAAUUUCUUAGAGUUAUUUUAGUUUUAUGUGUUAUAAUUGGAGUUGCAUUUCUAACUUUGUUAGAGCGGAAAGUUUUAGGAUAUAUUCAAAUUC
This 1342-nucleotide ribosomal RNA is filed under the name Protapion trifolii. RNAcentral describes it as "partial 16S ribosomal RNA". The stretch from base 906 to 1066 matches the Rfam family "Archaeal large subunit ribosomal RNA", at positions 2542 to 2701 of the family's 2987-position model. Lineage: Eukaryota; Metazoa; Arthropoda; Insecta; Coleoptera; Brentidae. The record is from RNAcentral.